CUUGACCUCAAAUCGGGUGAGACUACCCGCUGAACUUAAGCAUAUCAAUAAGCGGAGGAAAAGAAACUAACAAGGAUUCCCCUAGUAACUGCGAGUGAAGCGGGAAAAGCUCAAAUUUAAAAUCUGGCAAUCUUUGAUUGUCCGAGUUGUAAUCUAGAGAA
Molecule: ribosomal RNA, 161 nt
Filed under: uncultured Russula
Lineage: Eukaryota; Fungi; Basidiomycota; Agaricomycetes; Russulales; Russulaceae
Description: partial 28S ribosomal RNA
Rfam family: Eukaryotic large subunit ribosomal RNA
Source: RNAcentral